AUUGAACGCUGGCGGCAGGCCUAACACAUGCAAGUCGAGCGAGCGGCGGACGGGUGAGUAAUGUCUGGGAAACUGCCUGAUGGAGGGGGUUAACUACUGGAAACGGUAGCUAAUACCGCAUACCAUCAGCAGUGACCAGAUGGGAUUAGCUAGUAGGUGGGGUUACGGGUCACCUAGGCGACGAUCCCUCGCUGGUCUGAGAGGAUGACCAGCCAUACUGGAACUGAGACACGGUCCAGACUCCUACGGGAGUCAGCAGUGGGGAAUAUUGCACAAUGGGCGCAAGCCUGAUGCAGCCAUGCCGCGUGUGUGAAGAAGGCCUUCGGGUGGUAAAGCACUUUCAGCGGGGAGGCGUUACCCGCAGAAGAAGCACCGGCUAACUCCGUGCCAGCAGCCGCGGUAAUAC
This 406-nucleotide ribosomal RNA is filed under the name uncultured bacterium. RNAcentral describes it as "partial 16S ribosomal RNA". It matches the Rfam family "Bacterial small subunit ribosomal RNA", at positions 30 to 526 of the family's 1533-position model. The record is from RNAcentral.